This 1452-nucleotide ribosomal RNA is filed under the name metagenome. RNAcentral describes it as "bacterial LSU rRNA". It matches the Rfam family "Bacterial large subunit ribosomal RNA", at positions 1496 to 2925 of the family's 2925-position model. The record is from RNAcentral.
UGUUGGUUGUCCAAGUUUAAGGUGGUAGGCUGAAAUCUUAGGUAAAUCCGGGGUUUCAAGGCCGAGAGCUGAUGACGAGUCGUCUUUUAGAUGACGAAGUGGUUGAUGCCAUGCUUCCAAGGAAAGCUUCUAAGCUUCAGGUAACCAGGAACCGUACCCCAAACCGACACAGGUGGUCGGGUAGAGAAUACCAAGGCGCUUGAGAGAACUCGGGUGAAGGAACUAGGCAAAAUGGCACCGUAACUUCGGGAGAAGGUGCGCCGGCUAGGGUGAAGGAUUUACUCCGUAAGCUCUGGCUGGUCGAAGAUACCAGGCCGCUGCGACUGUUUAUUAAAAACACAGCACUCUGCAAACACGAAAGUGGACGUAUAGGGUGUGACGCCUCCCCGGUGCCGGAAGGUUAAUUGAUGGGGUUAGCGCAAGCGAAGCUCUUGAUCGAAGCCCCGGUAAACGGCGGCCGUAACGAUAACGGUCCUAAGGUAGCGAAAUUCCUUGUCGGGUAAGUUCCGACCUGCACGAAUGGCGUAACGAUGGCGGCGCUGUCUCCACCCGAGACUCAGCGAAAUUGAAAUCGCUGUGAAGAUGCAGUGUAUCCGCGGCUAGACGGAAAGACCCCGUGAACCUUUACUGUAGCUUUGCACUGGACUUUGAGCCUGCUUGUGUAGGAUAGGUGGGAGGCUUUGAAGCGUGGACGCCAGUUCGCGUGGAGCCAUCCUUGAAAUACCACCCUGGCAUGCUUGAGGUUCUAACUCUGGUCCGUAAUCCGGAUCGAGGACAGUGUAUGGUGGGCAGUUUGACUGGGGCGGUCUCCUCCUAAAGAGUAACGGAGGAGUACGAAGGUGCGCUCAGACCGGUCGGAAAUCGGUCGCAGAGUAUAAAGGCAAAAGCGCGCUUGACUGCGAGACAGACACGUCGAGCAGGUACGAAAGUAGGUCUUAGUGAUCCGGUGGUUCUGUAUGGAAGGGCCAUCGCUCAACGGAUAAAAGGUACUCCGGGGAUAACAGGCUGAUACCGCCCAAGAGUUCAUAUCGACGGCGGUGUUUGGCACCUCGAUGUCGGCUCAUCACAUCCUGGGGCUGAAGCCGGUCCCAAGGGUAUGGCUGUUCGCCAUUUAAAGUGGUACGCGAGCUGGGUUUAGAACGUCGUGAGACAGUUCGGUCCCUAUCUGCCGUGGACGUUUGAGAUUUGAGAGGGGCUGCUCCUAGUACGAGAGGACCGGAGUGGACGAACCUCUGGUGUUCCGGUUGUCACGCCAGUGGCAUUGCCGGGUAGCUAUGUUCGGAAAAGAUAACCGCUGAAAGCAUCUAAGCGGGAAACUUGCCUCAAGAUGAGAUCUCACUGGGAACUUGAUUCCCCUGAAGGGCCGUCGAAGACUACGACGUUGAUAGGCUGGGUGUGUAAGCGUUGUGAGGCGUUGAGCUAACCAGUACUAAUUGCCCGUGAGGCUUGAUC